This 495-nucleotide ribosomal RNA is filed under the name uncultured bacterium. RNAcentral's name for it is "partial 16S ribosomal RNA". It matches the Rfam family "Bacterial small subunit ribosomal RNA", at positions 28 to 507 of the family's 1533-position model. The record is from RNAcentral.
GACGAACGCUGGCGGCGUGCCUAAUACAUGCAAGUAGAACGCUGAAGGAGGAGCUUGCUUCUCUGGAUGAGUUGCGAACGGGUGAGUAACGCGUAGGUAACCUGCCUGGUAGCGGGGGAUAACUAUUGGAAACGAUAGCUAAUACCGCAUAAUAGCAGUUAUUGCAUGAUAACUGUUUGAAAGGUGCAAUUGCACCACUACCAGAUGGACCUGCGUUGUAUUAGCUAGUUGGUGGGGUAACGGCUCACCAAGGCGACGAUACAUAGCCGACCUGAGAGGGUGAUCGGCCACACUGGGACGGAGACACGGCCCAGACUCCUACGGGAGGCAGCAGUAGGGAAUCUUCGGCAAUGGACGGGAGUCUGACCGAGCAAAGCCGCGUGAGUAAAGAAGGUUUUCGGAUCGUAAAGCUCUGUUGUAAGAGAAGAACGAGUGUGAGAGUGGAAAGUUCACACUGUGACGGUAUCUUACCAGAAAGGGACGGCUAGCUACGUG